GACGAACACUGGCGGCGUGCUUAACACAUGCAAGUCGAACGGAGUGGCGAACGGGUGAGUAACACGUGGGUGACCUUCCCUGUACUUCGGGAUAAGCCUGGGAAACUGGGUCUAAUACCGGAUAGUGUGGGAUGGGCUCGCGGCCUAUCAGCUUGUUGGUGGGGUAAUGGCCUACCAAGGCGGCGACGGGUAGCCGGCCUGCGAGGGUGGACGGCCACAUUGGGACUAAGAGACGGCCCAGACUUCUACGGGAGGCAGCAGUGGGGAGUAUUGCACAAUGGGGGGAAGCCUGGUGCAGCGGCGCCGCGUUGGGGAUGACGGCCAUCGGGUUGUAAACUCCUUUCACCAUCGACGCGGUAGAUGGAGAAGAAGCACCGGCUAACUACGUGCCAGCAGCCGCGGUAAUUC
This 408-nucleotide ribosomal RNA is filed under the name uncultured bacterium. Its description in RNAcentral is "partial 16S ribosomal RNA". It matches the Rfam family "Bacterial small subunit ribosomal RNA", at positions 28 to 526 of the family's 1533-position model. The record is from RNAcentral.